RNAcentral lists this ribosomal RNA (34 nucleotides) under Cognettia chlorophila. RNAcentral describes it as "partial 18S ribosomal RNA". Lineage: Eukaryota; Metazoa; Annelida; Clitellata; Enchytraeida; Enchytraeidae. RNAcentral also lists the same sequence under 1 other name. The record is from RNAcentral.
AUCAUUAACGAAGCUAGCGCUCGCGCGCAACGCU